UACGGGGGGAGCAAGCGUUGUUCGAAUUUACUGGGCGUAAAGGGCGCGUAGGCGGCACCGCAAGUCGACUGUGAAAUCUCCGGGCUUAACCCGGAAAGGUCAGCCGAUACUGCGGGGCUAGAGUGCAGAAGGGGCAACUGGAAUUCUCGGUGUAGCGGUGAAAUGCGUAGAUAUCGAGAGGAACACCUGCGGCGAAGGCGGGUUGCUGGGCUGACACUGACGCUGAUGCGCGAAAGCUAGGGGAGCGAACGGG
Molecule: ribosomal RNA, 253 nt
Filed under: uncultured bacterium
Lineage: Bacteria
Description: partial 16S ribosomal RNA
Rfam family: Bacterial small subunit ribosomal RNA
Source: RNAcentral